GCAAGUCGAGGGGUAACGGAAGUAGCUUGCUACUAGACGACGACCGGCGCACGGGUGAGUAACGCGUAUGUAAUCUGCCUUGUACAGAGGGAUAGCCCAGAGAAAUUUGGAUUAAUACCUCAUAGUAUUACCGAAUCGCAUGAUUUGGUAAUUAAAGCUCCGGCGGUACAAGAUGAACAUGCGUGACAUUAGCUAGUUGGUAAGGUAACGGCUUACCAAGGCGACGAUCAUUAGCCGGCCUGAGAGGGUGACC
Molecule: ribosomal RNA, 253 nt
Filed under: uncultured bacterium
Lineage: Bacteria
Description: partial 16S ribosomal RNA
Rfam family: Bacterial small subunit ribosomal RNA
Source: RNAcentral